This is a long non-coding RNA of Leopardus geoffroyi (Geoffroy's cat), 2173 nucleotides long. RefSeq lists it as uncharacterized. Lineage: Eukaryota; Metazoa; Chordata; Mammalia; Carnivora; Felidae. The transcript has 5 exons. The record is from RefSeq and is a predicted model, not a curated record.
UGAAGACAUACACACAGGGAGGACACCAUGGAAGGACGGAGCAGAGAUAUGAAUGAUACAGCUGCAAGCCAAGGAGCACCCACGGUUGCCGGCUACCAGCAGACACUAGGGUGCGCCAGUCUAUGGGAAUAAAGUCAUGGAAAAUACCCUCCAUUUUCCCUUAAUGUGCAAAUAUUCGUGGAAGAGAAAUACAGCAAAGAGAAAAGGCUAUUACAGAAAGAACCAUAAUAGACGUGAGGAGAGCACGCAGGGAGGAUAAACAACGCUGCCCAAAGAUUUGCAAAGACGUGUUCUUGCAGGAAGACUGAAGGUUCGCCAGGUAUUGGCACAUAAGAGGAGGAAAGUGGUGGGUGGUGCCUGUUGGGUGGUGGGGGGCUGGGGGGAGACAGGGAAUGGCAAGGAGAGAGGUUAGGUCCUUAGGGAGCAAAACCUAUGAUGUUUGCGGAAGGCAAUAAGGAGUUCAAUGGGGAUGAGCAAAGAUACAGGACAAGAAGAAAAAAGAGAUUGGACGAGUGCUGGAAUAUAAAGACUAUUACAGAAUAAAAACAACUUUACCAGAAGAAGCAAGCUAAGGUGAAAAGUGUUCAAGAAGGGCAAGGAUAUGCUGCCAUAUUUUAUGUCUCAUCCUGGAAGGAGGUGUUGUAAAAAGAACAAGACUGGGCUCAAUAUUGACUGGACAUCCUAGACUUCAUGUGUGGCUUUAUGGGAUGUAGCCCUGUUGGUAUAAUCAUCUUGCUGUCGCCACUUGGUAUCCAAAGUCAAGGUCCCUCACUAAGUAAGGCUGGAGUUUUACUUUAUGUACGCGAAUCAUCUCACUGUACCAUCCUGUGAAAAGGUUAAUCCCGGGAAAGAAAAUGAAGACUCACUUUUGGUACCUUUAACCAAAGUGUAGUCUGGGCUUGAACUUGAACCUGAAAACAAGCAUGACCUAACAUGAUUAUUAUGAGGAAUUGCCUGUGAUGUGCUUUCCUUCUUUCUUCCCCCACCUUGGCUGUGCUCUGUUGGAACAGUGGAACUUUCUCCUCCAUACUUGGGAAGGUGAAGAACAGAAUCCCGUUCUGGAGCCUAGAGCAGUGGUGGAGGCCUUGUCAUCCAUAGAAGACAAGUAUGUCUGGCAACAAGGUGAUCCCACAGCAGUGAGAAAUGGGGCGACAAAGCUGCACUUUAUCCUGGCACUGUCACCCUAUAAAACAGCUGCGGCUAAGAAACCUCCCACCCAUUCUUUGGUGUUCUGGGAAACAGCCUGCCGCAAAGUAACAUCCUUCUCCAAAUGACCUAAGUAAGACUCGCAGACGCUCCCUUGUUUAUAUAUGUGGUGAGAUGGAAGUAAGCCCCAAGUGGAAAAAUAUGUGGGACUCCAUUCUGAACACACAUUCAGAUGAGUUAGCAUCCUGGAGAAGCGUCAGAAAGAACAAGAGAAAAGUAUAAAGAAGGACAAUUAGGAAUUACAUAUUGGUUCCCAUUCCUUUCCUUCCCAUGAAUCAUCCAGGUUUGCCAAGCUUGGCAAGGCCAGGGCCAAAGAGGCAGCCAGGGCUACUGAGGCACACAAGACCCAGGCCAAGAAGGUGACUGAGACUAAAGGAGUGACCAAAACUUGUGGGGCUUGGGCAGAGGAAGCAGCCAAAGGGGUCAAUAUAUUGAUUAUAAAAGAGGGAAAUGAGCAAAUAAGAAAAUAGGAACCAUGUUUCUCAUUGGGAAAGGGAGUUCAAAUGACACAGCUAGAAUAAUUCCUGUGAUUUGGGGAUUUGAAUUAGAGGUAUGGAUGAAUUUAUACCAACUAACAGAAGUAAUGGACUUAAGUACAAUUUGGAAAUAAGGAAUAUGUUGCCAAGAGAACCCCCACAUGCCAAAAAGACAUUGGGUGCUGGAAAGGUCAAUAACUUCUUUGGGGGGCAGUGUAAGAGAUAGAAUGUGCCAGAGAAAUCUGCUCUGCUCUCUACAGAGACCUCAGUUACAUAAGAAAUAAACCAUCUUAUCCUCUUGUUGUGUGUGUGGCAUCUUCAGUCUUGAUAUCUGAAAAAAAUUGGGGUGGGAUUCCAUCAUGCCUCUGUAGUUGGGUUACGGCACUUACAAUGGAGAAAACAGGUAGGCACCACCUUAGCAACGUGAUCUAAUUUCACAUCAUCAGUGAUAGGGUAAAUAUCACGUGCCUUCUGCUGUGAUGAACAGAGAA